Molecule: ribosomal RNA, 2843 nt
Filed under: Escherichia coli
Lineage: Bacteria; Pseudomonadati; Pseudomonadota; Gammaproteobacteria; Enterobacterales; Enterobacteriaceae
Description: bacterial LSU rRNA
Rfam family: Bacterial large subunit ribosomal RNA
Source: RNAcentral
UUAAGCGACUAAGCGUACACGGUGGAUGCCCUGGCAGUCAGAGGCGAUGAAGGACGUGCUAAUCUGCGAUAAGCGUCGGUAAGGUGAUAUGAACCGUUAUANCACACUAUCAUUAACUGAAUCCAUAGGUUAAUGAGGCGAACCGGGGGAACUGAAACAUCUAAGUACCCCGAGGAAAAGAAAUCAACCGAGAUUCCCCCAGUAGCGGCGAGCGAACGGGGAGCAGCCCAGAGCCUGAAUCAGUGUGUGUGUUAGUGGAAGCGUCUGGAAAGGCGCGCGAUACAGGGUGACAGCCCCGUACACAAAAAUGCACAUACUGUGAGCUCGAUGAGUAGGGCGGGACACGUGGUAUCCUGUCUGAAUAUGGGGGGACCAUCCUCCAAGGCUAAAUACUCCUGACUGACCGAUAGUGAACCAGUACCGUGAGGGAAAGGCGAAAAGAACCCCGGCGAGGGGAGUGAAAAAGAACCUGAAACCGUGUACGUACAAGCAGUGGGAGCNGUGACUGCGUACCUUUUGUAUAAUGGGUCAGCGACUUAUAUUCUGUAGCAAGGUUAACCGAAUAGGGGAGCCGAAGGGAAACCGAGUCUUAACUGGGCGUUAAGUUGCAGGGUAUAGACCCGAAACCCGGUGAUCUAGCCAUGGGCAGGUUGAAGGUUGGGUAACACUAACUGGAGGACCGAACCGACUAAUGUUGAAAAAUUAGCGGAUGACUUGUGGCUGGGGGUGAAAGGCCAAUCAAACCGGGAGAUAGCUGGUUCUCCCCGAAAGCUAUUUAGGUAGCGCCUCGUGAAUUCAUCUCCGGGGGUAGAGCACUGUUUCGGCAAGGGGGUCAUCCCGACUUACCAACCCGAUGCAAACUGCGAAUACCGGAGAAUGUUAUCACGGGAGACACACGGCGGGUGCUAACGUCCGUCGUGAAGAGGGAAACAACCCAGACCGCCAGCUAAGGUCCCAAAGUCAUGGUUAAGUGGGAAACGAUGUGGGAAGGCCCAGACAGCCAGGAUGUUGGCUUAGAAGCAGCCAUCAUUUAAAGAAAGCGUAAUAGCUCACUGGUCGAGUCGGCCUGCGCGGAAGAUGUAACGGGGCUAAACCAUGCACCGAAGCUGCGGCAGCGACACUGUGUGUUGUUGGGUAGGGGAGCGUUCUGUAAGCCUGUGAAGGUGUNAUGCUGGAGGUAUCAGAAGUGCGAAUGCUGACAUAAGUAACGAUAAAGCGGGUGAAAAGCCCGCUCGCCGGAAGACCAAGGGUUCCUGUCCAACGUUAAUCGGGGCAGGGUGAGUCGACCCCUAAGGCGAGGCCGAAAGGCGUAGUCGAUGGGAAACAGGUUAAUAUUCCUGUACUUGGUGUUACUGCGAAGGGGGGACGGAGAAGGCUAUGUUGGCCGGGCGACGGUUGUCCCGGUUUAAGCGUGUAGGCUGGUUUUCCAGGCAAAUCCGGAAAAUCAAGGCUGAGGCGUGAUGACGAGGCACUACGGUGCUGAAGCAACAAAUGCCCUGCUUCCAGGAAAAGCCUCUAAGCAUCAGGUAACAUCAAAUCGUACCCCAAACCGACACAGGUGGUCAGGUAGAGAAUACCAAGGCGUUUGAGAGAACUCGGGUGAAGGAACUAGGCAAAAUGGUGCCGUAACUUCGGGAGAAGGCACGCUGAUAUGUAGGUGAAGUCCCUCGCGGAUGGAGCUGAAAUCAGUCGAAGAUACCAGCUGGCUGCAACUGUUUAUUAAAAACACAGCACUGUGCAAACACGAAAGUGGACGUAUACGGUGUGACGCCUGCCCGGUGCCGGAAGGUUAAUUGAUGGGGUCAGCGCAAGCGAAGCUCUUGAUCGAAGCCCCGGUAAACGGCGGCCGUAACUAUAACGGUCCUAAGGUAGCGAAAUUCCUUGUCGGGUAAGUUCCGACCUGCACGAAUGGCGUAAUGAUGGCCAGGCUGUCUCCACCCGAGACUCAGUGAAAUUGAACUCGCUGUGAAGAUGCAGUGUACCCGCGGCAAGACGGAAAGACCCCGUGAACCUUUACUAUAGCUUGACACUGAACAUUGAGCCUUGAUGUGUAGGAUAGGUGGGAGGCUUUGAAGUGUGGACGCCAGUCUGCAUGGAGCCGACCUUGAAAUACCACCCUUUAAUGUUUGAUGUUCUAACGUGGACCCGUGAUCCGGGUUGCGGACAGUGUCUGGUGGGUAGUUUGACUGGGGCGGUCUCCUCCUAAAGAGUAACGGAGGAGCACGAAGGUUGGCUAAUCCUGGUCGGACAUCAGGAGGUUAGUGCAAUGGCAUAAGCCAGCUUGACUGCGAGCGUGACGGCGCGAGCAGGUGCGAAAGCAGGUCAUAGUGAUCCGGUGGUUCUGAAUGGAAGGGCCAUCGCUCAACGGAUAAAAGGUACUCCGGGGAUAACAGGCUGAUACCGCCCAAGAGUUCAUAUCGACGGCGGUGUUUGGCACCUCGAUGUCGGCUCAUCACAUCCUGGGGCUGAAGUAGGUCCCAAGGGUAUGGCUGUUCGCCAUUUAAAGUGGUACGCGAGCUGGGUUUAGAACGUCGUGAGACAGUUCGGUCCCUAUCUGCCGUGGGCGCUGGAGAACUGAGGGGGGCUGCUCCUAGUACGAGAGGACCGGAGUGGACGCAUCACUGGUGUUCGGGUUGUCAUGCCAAUGGCACUGCCCGGUAGCUAAAUGCGGAAGAGAUAAGUGCUGAAAGCAUCUAAGCACGAAACUUGCCCCGAGAUGAGUUCUCCCUGACCCUUUAAGGGUCCUGAAGGAACGUUGAAGACGACGACGUUGAUAGGCCGGGUGUGUAAGCGCAGCGAUGCGUUGAGCUAACCGGUACUAAUGAACCGUGAGGCUUAACCUU